Molecule: ribosomal RNA, 205 nt
Filed under: Cubiceps squamiceps (Indian driftfish)
Lineage: Eukaryota; Metazoa; Chordata; Actinopteri; Scombriformes; Nomeidae
Description: partial 16S ribosomal RNA
Source: RNAcentral
GCCAACUAGCUAGCCCACCCCAUAAGAACAACAAUACCCUAUUUAUAAACCCAAAUAUACGACACCCCGUUUAACAAACCAUUUUUCCUCCCUAGUAUGGGCGACAGAAAAGGAACUACCGGAGCAAUAGAGAAAGUACCGCAAGGGAACGCUGAAAGAGAAAUGAAACAACUCAGUUAAGCCUAAAAAAGCAGAGACUACCCCU